This 65-nucleotide transfer RNA is filed under the name Semele scabra. Its description in RNAcentral is "tRNA-Ala". The record is from RNAcentral. Lineage: Eukaryota; Metazoa; Mollusca; Bivalvia; Cardiida; Semelidae.
GCACUACAUAGUUUAAAUUAAAAUAAUUGAUUUGCAAUCUUUAGAUGGGGCCUAUCCCUGGUGCU